This 449-nucleotide ribosomal RNA is filed under the name uncultured bacterium. Its description in RNAcentral is "partial 16S ribosomal RNA". It matches the Rfam family "Bacterial small subunit ribosomal RNA", at positions 29 to 523 of the family's 1533-position model. The record is from RNAcentral.
AACGAACGCUGGCGGCAUGCCUAACACAUGCAAGUCGAACGAAGGCUUCGGCCUUAGUGGCGCACGGGUGCGUAACGCGUGGGAAUCUGCCCCUUGCUUCGGAAUAACAGUUAGAAAUGACUGCUAAUACCGGAUGAUGUCGAAAGACCAAAGAUUUAUCGGCAAGGGAUGAGCCCGCGUAGGAUUAGGUAGUUGGUGGGGUAAAGGCCUACCAAGCCGACGAUCCUUAGCUGGUCUGAGAGGAUGAUCAGCCACACUGGGACUGAGACACGGCCCAGACUCCUACGGGAGGCAGCAGUGGGGAAUAUUGGACAAUGGGGGCAACCCUGAUCCAGCAAUGCCGCGUGAGUGAUGAAGGCCUUAGGGUUGUAAAGCUCUUUCACCCGGGAUGAUAAUGACAGUACCGGGAGAAUAAGCUCCGGCUAACUCCGUGCCAGCAGCCGCCGCAG